GAAUGAAAAAACUUGAGGAUCCCUCAGACACUGAGGAAUGGACUCAGCAAUGCCACCAACUUCAUCUUGUGCCAUGUAAGGGGGCAAGAGGAGAUCUAUCGGCAGCAUGCCGGGGGCAGGUUGGGACCAAGGGUUUAAUCCAAAAAGGAGUCACCAUUUCUGCUGCCUUUUAGGGGACUGGUUUUUAAAUCAAGCACAUGUGGAAGGAAACAUCUCCAGGUUCUUCAUUCCGUUCUAUUUUCCACAGCAGCUAAGUAAGAAAUACCAGUCAUUUUCAUCCAGGAGGCUGAUUGUUGAUUGAUUCAAAAGAUUGACGAGAACCAAAGCAGAAUGUUACCUAAAGUAAGUGGUUUGUUUUCAUUAUUUAAGAUAGUGGAAUUAAAUUCACUCAACCCUAACAUUACAAGAUAAUUAAGCAUUAUGCAUGAGAAGUGGAAGAGUGUAUGUAUUCUGUGUUCUUUGCUUUUCAUAAGAUUUGCCUUAAUAUUCAGAUUUUUUAACUAGAGUGUAUGGUAGUUAUUGCUUGCUUUGUUACCUUGUUGUUUCUGAUUUCUCUGUUCAAUUAACCUUGGGGACCAUAUCUGCAAUAUAGAUCAGAGUGAUUCCCGUAAGUCUCAGUGCAUGCAUUUUCCUACUCAUUCUUCCAUGAGAAGAGGAAUGUGUGGCAUACCUUGCACAGAAGAAGCCAGAGACACCGGCCCUCUGCAGACCGUCUGUGGGUGUCCCUUGCCUCUUUUCUACCACCUGGAUCCCAGUGGCCCCUGAAAGCACUGCAGUUUCCAAAACUCUUCUUCUGACAAGGCUACUCUUACGAUGAUUGACUGUGGUUCUCAUGCCCUCCCUUACACCAUCUCCGCCUUUCUUAUUUCCCAGAGCUGGAAACCUACCGGCUUCCAUAGGGUCAGUGUGCUGAACUCUUGCCCCUGAAGGCAAAACUUCCUAUUUCCACAGGCACAAGCUCUGUUCUGCCUUUACAGUUUGUCUCACAUAUUGAGUUUUUUUGUUGUUGUUUUGUUGUUGUUUUUAUUUUUUAGUGUGCUUUUAGAUAAUAGGGUGAUCAGCAGAAAAACAGAAUCUUCAUAUUCACCAGUACAAGAAGUCAGUGUAUGUUUUGUUGCAAACAUUCAUUCAGAGCCAUUGCCAUCCAGCUAGGCUGGAAUUUUCUCUAGCUGCAUAAAUCGCCAGUAGGUUUCAUUUUUAAAUUGGAAAGUACUAGUCUAAAGGACAGAUGAAGUUAGAAACCACAAAAGAACAAUAUUUUUUUUACAUCAUCAUCAAUCUACAACCUAUCCUGGAAAACG
RNAcentral lists this long non-coding RNA (1301 nucleotides) under Chrysemys picta bellii (western painted turtle). RNAcentral describes it as "lncRNA (ENSCPBG00000027673.1)". The record is from RNAcentral. Lineage: Eukaryota; Metazoa; Chordata; Testudines; Emydidae.